RNAcentral lists this long non-coding RNA (1062 nucleotides) under Vulpes vulpes (red fox). Its description in RNAcentral is "lncRNA (ENSVVUG00000001337.1)". Lineage: Eukaryota; Metazoa; Chordata; Mammalia; Carnivora; Canidae. The record is from RNAcentral.
AUGUGGGACGGCGCAGCCGAGGGGGGCGGGGGGGAACUUCUGUGCGUCCUCGUGCGUCGGGGCCGUGUGCGCAGCUCUACGGAAGGAGACCACGCAGGACGGCGUGGCCAAGGGGGGGUGGGGGGGGUCUGUGCAUCCCCGUGGGUCGGGCCGUGCACACAGCUCCCAGGAAGGAGACCACGCGGGACGGCGCGGCCAACAGGGGCGUUGGGGGCAUCCGUGCGUCGUCGUGCGUCGGGGCCAUGCGCACAGCUCCGCGGAAGGAGACCACGAGGAGGCACAGAUGCCGCAGGGCCGCUUGGCUGGCGAACAAUAGAUGUUACGAGAACGAACAAGGUGAAGGGUUCUCCGGUGUUUCUUGUCACGUCCCCACGCAACGAGCGGCGGCCGUGUGGCAUGCAGCAGCGUGGGCGGGGCACGCGGGGCUUCGGUCGGGCCUCCGUCGCUCGCGGGCUCCGGGUGGACCUGUCGGGGAGCCGAGGGGCUCGUAGCGAAGGUGCAGACCCCCGGGCCCUGCAGCACGUUCCGGGGGAAGCGCCCACAGGCUUCGCCAUACACAUUAUAGUGGGCAGAGCAAUGACUCUACGCACAGCAAUGCAGAAGAGCCGUGAGAGACAGAAUGCUGUCUCCCAAUCCAGGGUAUUUUCGAAGAGCUGCUAAUGUGGAACAGACUUCUAUAUAAAUUAUCAGCCUCUUUAACAUCAGCUUCCAAACGAGCUUAUAAUCAGAUCGAUUGACACAGAGAACAAACUCAUGGUUACCAGAGGGGAUGCGGAGGCAGAAGACAGGCAAAAUGGGUGAGGGGCUGGGAGAUACCGGCUUCCAAGUUCAAAAUGAAGAAGUCCUGGGAACAAAAGAUGCAGCACAGAGAAAAUAGGCAGGGGUAUUCCAACAGCACCCAAGGUGACAGGUGUUGGCCAGAGUUACGGUGAGCAGAGCUGUAAGGUGCUGAGAUGCUGAAUCCCUCUGUUGCACACCUGAAACAAAUGGAGCAGUGUGGAUCAACUGUACUGAAAAACAAAGUGAAAUAAAGUCAUUGGCCUUAAAGUUAGGAAAGAGUGU